This 809-nucleotide ribosomal RNA is filed under the name Streptomyces sp. RNAcentral describes it as "bacterial SSU rRNA". It matches the Rfam family "Bacterial small subunit ribosomal RNA", at positions 95 to 916 of the family's 1533-position model. The record is from RNAcentral. Lineage: Bacteria; Bacillati; Actinomycetota; Actinomycetes; Kitasatosporales; Streptomycetaceae.
GUGGCGACGGGUGAGUAACACGUGGGCAAUCUGCCCUUCACUCUGGGACAAGCCCUGGAAACGGGGUCUAAUACCGGAUAACACUCUGUCCUGCAUGGGACGGGGUUAAAAGCUCCGGCGGUGAAGGAUGAGCCCGCGGCCUAUCAGCUUGUUGGUGGGGUAAUGGCCUACCAAGGCGACGACGGGUAGCCGGCCUGAGAGGGCGACCGGCCACACUGGGACUGAGACACGGCCCAGACUCCUACGGGAGGCAGCAGUGGGGAAUAUUGCACAAUGGGCGAAAGCCUGAUGCAGCGACGCCGCGUGAGGGAUGACGGCCUUCGGGUUGUAAACCUCUUUCAGCAGGGAAGAAGCGCAAGUGACGGUACCUGCAGAAGAAGCACCGGCUAACUACGUGCCAGCAGCCGCGGUAAUACGUAGGGUGCGAGCGUUGUCCGGAAUUAUUGGGCGUAAAGAGCUCGUAGGCGGCUUGUCACGUCGGAUGUGAAAGCUCGGGGCUUAACUCCGAGUCUGCAUUCGAUACGGGCUAGCUAGAGUGUGGUAGGGGAGAUCGGAAUUCCUGGUGUAGCGGUGAAAUGCGCAGAUAUCAGGAGGAACACCGGUGGCGAAGGCGGAUCUCUGGGCCAUUACUGACGCUGAGGAGCGAAAGCGUGGGGAGCGAACAGGAUUAGAUACCCUGGUAGUCCACGCCGUAAACGUUGGGAACUAGGUGUUGGCGACAUUCCACGUCGUCGGUGCCGCAGCUAACGCAUUAAGUUCCCCGCCCUGGGGAGUACGGCCGCAAGGCUAAAACUCAAAGGAAUUGACGG